UAAUUUCAUCAAUACCCCUAUGAAAAAUCAUAAUUUCAUGGAUAACCCUCUAAACUGAAAAAUAUCAUCAAUACCCCUCUUAAACCCAAAAAUAUUCACAGAUACCCUUUAGCUUAACUUUCAGUCAAAUGGUCGUCCAAUAUUUUAUAAAUACCAAUUUUACCCCUAGCAACAAUUUAAACAUUUAAUAUUUAAGAUUAAUUAUAUGAUCAAUUUUUAACAUUUGAAUCACAUAAUAAUUUAACAUUAUUUCUAAAAUAUUACAAUUAAAGAUCCAUAGUCUAUUAAGUGUGAUAGUUAAAUCUCAUUAUGAUUUUUCGCUUUUAAAUUAUACAUAGUUAUAAUGCAAUUUGUCUAUAGUAGAAUUCAACAUUAACUAUUUAAAGAUUUAUUUUUAAAAAUUUUAUUUAAAUAACUCACAUAUCUCAUGCUAAAAAUAUUUUGAUAUCAAAAUUCUCUAUAUU
RNAcentral lists this long non-coding RNA (464 nucleotides) under Ananas comosus (pineapple). RNAcentral's name for it is "long non-coding RNA (ACOM_LNC005012)". Lineage: Eukaryota; Viridiplantae; Streptophyta; Magnoliopsida; Poales; Bromeliaceae. The record is from RNAcentral.